ACCCGACUGCUAUCAGAGUGGGACUAAGCCAUGCGAGUCAACAUAGCAAUAUGUGGCAUACGGCCCAGUAACACGUAGUCAACAUGCCCAGGGGACGUGGAUAACCUCGGGAAACUGAGGAUAAACCGCGAUAGGUCAUCACUUCUGGAAUGGGUAAUGACUUAAAUCUAUAUGGCCCCUGGAUUGGACUGCGGCCGAUCAGGCUGUUGGUGAGGUAAUGGCCCACCAAACCUGUAACCGGUACGGGCUCUGAGAGGAGGAGCCCGGAGAUGGGCACUGAGACAAGGGCCCAGGCCCUAUGGGGCGCAGCAGGCGCGAAACCUCUGCAAUAGGCGAAAGCUUGACAGGGUUACUCUGAGUGAUUUCCGUUAAGGAGAUCUUUUGGCACCUCUAAAAAUGGUGCAGAAUAAGGGGUGGGCAAGUCUGGUGUCAGCCGCCGCGGUAAUACCAGCACCCCGAGUGGUCGGGACGUUUAUUGGGCCUAAAGCAUCCGUAGCCGGUUCUACAAGUCUUCCGUUAAAUCCACCUGCUUAACAGAUGGGCUGCGGAAGAUACUAUAGAGCUAGGAGGCGGGAGAGGCAAGCGGUACUCGAUGGGUAGGGGUAAAAUCCGUUGAUCCAUUGAAGACCACCAGUGGCGAAGGCGGCUUGCCAGAACGCGCUCGACGGUGAGGGAUGAAAGCUGGGGGAGCAAACCGGAUUAGAUACCCGGGUAGUCCCAGCUGUAAACGAUGCAGACUCGGUGAUGAGUUGGCUUAUUACUAACUCAGUGCCGCAGGGAAGCCGUUAAGUUUGCCGCCUGGGGAGUACGGUCGCAAGACUGAAACUUAAAAGAAUUGGCGGGGGAGCACCACAAGGGGUGAAGCCUGCGGUUCAAUUGGAGUCAACGCCGGAAAUCUUACCGGGGGCGACAGCAGAGUGAAGGUCAAGCUGAAGACUUUACCAGACAAGCUGAGAGGAGGUGCAUGGCCGUCGCCAGCUCGUGCCGUGAGGUGUCCUGUUAAGUCAGGUAACGAGCGAGAUCCCUGCCUCUAGUUGCUACCAUUAUUCUCAGGAGUAGUGGAGCUAAUUAGAGGGACCGCCGUCGCUGAGACGGAGGAAGGUGGGGGCUACGGCAGGUCAGUAUGCCCCGAAACCCUCGGGCCACACGCGGGCUGCAAUGGUAAGGACAAUGAGUUUCGAUUCCGAAAGGAGGAGGCAAUCUCUAAACCUUACCACAGUUAUGAUUGAGGGCUGAAACUCGCCCUCAUGAAUAUGGAAUCCCUAGUAACCGCGUGUCACUAUCGCGCGGUGAAUACGUCCCUGCUCC
RNAcentral lists this ribosomal RNA (1308 nucleotides) under uncultured bacterium. RNAcentral's name for it is "bacterial SSU rRNA". It matches the Rfam family "Archaeal small subunit ribosomal RNA", at positions 21 to 1336 of the family's 1478-position model. The record is from RNAcentral.